Molecule: ribosomal RNA, 402 nt
Filed under: uncultured bacterium
Lineage: Bacteria
Description: bacterial SSU rRNA
Rfam family: Bacterial small subunit ribosomal RNA
Source: RNAcentral
UCGGGAAUUUUGGGCAAUGGGCGAAAGCCUGACCCAGCAACGCCGCGUGAGGGGUGAAGUAUUUCGGUAUGUAAACCUCGAAAGAAUGGGAAGAAUAAAUGACGGUACCAUUUAUAAGCUCCGGCUAACUACGUGCCAGCAGCCGCGGUAAUACGUAGGGAGCAAGCGUUGUUCGGAUUUACUGGGCGUAAAGGGCGCGUAGGCGGCGCGGUAAGUCACUUGUGAAAUCUCUGAGCUUAACUCAGAACGGCCAAGUGAUACUGCUGUGCUAGAGUGCGGAAGAGGCAACCGGAAUUCUUGGUGUAGCAGUGAAAUGCGUAGAUAUCAAGAGGAACACCUGAGGCGAAGGCGGGUUGCUGGGCCGACACUGACGCUGAUGCGCGAAAGCCAGGGGAGCAAACG